Molecule: ribosomal RNA, 433 nt
Filed under: uncultured bacterium
Lineage: Bacteria
Description: partial 16S ribosomal RNA
Rfam family: Bacterial small subunit ribosomal RNA
Source: RNAcentral
AACGAACGCUGGCGGCAGGCCUAACACAUGCAAGUCGAGCGGACCCUUCGGGGUUAGCGGCGGACGGGUGAGUAACGCGUGAGAAUAUGCCCUUCUCUACGGAAUAGUCCUGGGAAACUGGGGGUAAUACCGUAUACGCCCUUGGGGGGAAAGAUUUAUCGGGGAAGGAUUAGCCCGCGUUGGAUUAGGUAGUUGGUGGGGUAAUGGCCUACCAAGCCGACGAUCCAUAGCUGGUUUGAGAGGAUGAUCAGCCACACUGGGACUGAGACACGGCCCAGACUCCUACGGGAGGCAGCAGUGGGGAAUCUUAGACAAUGGGGGCAACCCUGAUCUAGCCAUGCCGCGUGAGUGAUGAAGGCCUUAGGGUUGUAAAGCUCUUUCAGCUGGGAAGAUAAUGACGGUACCAGCAGAAGAAGCCCCGGCUAACUCCGUG